UCUUUUGAGGUGCAUCAAGCCAA
This 23-nucleotide non-coding RNA is filed under the name Rattus norvegicus (Norway rat). The record is from RNAcentral. Lineage: Eukaryota; Metazoa; Chordata; Mammalia; Rodentia; Muridae.